UACGUAGGGGGCAAGCGUUGUCCGGAAUUAUUGGGCGUAAAGGGCUCGUAGGCGGUCUGUUGCGUCGGGAGUGAAAACUCAGGGCUUAACCCUGAGCCUGCUUCCGAUACGGGCAGACUGGAGGUAUGCAGGGGAGAACGGAAUUCCUGGUGUAGCGGUGAAAUGCGCAGAUAUCAGGAGGAACACCGGUGGCGAAGGCGGUUCUCUGGGCAUUACCUGACGCUGAGGAGCGAAAGUGUGGGGAGCGAACAGG
This 253-nucleotide ribosomal RNA is filed under the name uncultured bacterium. Its description in RNAcentral is "partial 16S ribosomal RNA". It matches the Rfam family "Bacterial small subunit ribosomal RNA", at positions 524 to 776 of the family's 1533-position model. The record is from RNAcentral.